Molecule: long non-coding RNA, 1009 nt
Filed under: Salarias fasciatus (jewelled blenny)
Lineage: Eukaryota; Metazoa; Chordata; Actinopteri; Blenniiformes; Blenniidae
Description: lncRNA (ENSSFAG00005019546.1)
Rfam family: Small nucleolar RNA SNORA15 (bases 650-786)
Source: RNAcentral
AUGCUAACCACGCAUGCUACAGAGGUGGAGGGAGGUGAGUUUCUGUCUUAGCUGAGUAUUUGUGCAAUUAUUCGCCUUCAUGUGGGAUAGUGGAAUGAACGAUUGCUCAAUCUGGACCUGGGAAUGUUAAAGUUACAGGUAAUUCGUCCCCUGAAGAUCUAGAAUAACGCGUUUUUUCCUUUGGGGUGGAGCGCCUGGUACACACGUGGAUCGUCUCCGUGUGGAGGAAGCGUUCAGGUAGUUCCACUUCAUUCUGAAAGAUGCUGCUAUUAAAUUUAAAGGACAGUCUUAGACUUGACUGGAAAACUUUUUACAGAAUUAGUCUGUCGGUAGAUGUAGAUGUGACUGUUAGUGGUCUGUAUUUCUUAUUUUUAUAGGAACACACAUUCGUGGCUAAUCUUCACUAAAGACUGAAGUGCAUACCAUUUUUUGUGUUUGUUGUAUAGGAUUUCACUGGAGGAAGCCCUUUCCUGAAAUACCAUGACCUUCAGAUGUAAGCUUAUGUAAAUAUCUGUGGAAUCUCAGACGCAGAUGAUGGUCUGAGUGACCUGCAGACUCUGAAGACCAGCCUGAUAUUGGUAGGUUUACCCUCCCCUCUGUUCCCAAACAGCGUGAUUCUUACACUGAGCACAACGGUUUCCUUCUUGAGGCAUGGCCGAAUUCUGCUCCAGCUGAUCUGUGCUGGAUGCAGUCAGACACCAUGCAAAAGAAAAGCCUCCUUCCCGCUAAAUGAGCAGACGAGCACCUCCGAUGGUCUUGUCCAGCUGCACAGGAUCGAGUACAAGUGCUCAAUAGGAUAUCCAUUGUGAGUUUAUAUUGACUGUUUUCUUUUGUUUGAAUUUUGCAGGGAAGACUUGAACGGACUGAGGGAAAACUCCCGUCGAGGUAAUUAUGAUCAGUGUCUUAAUGUUUUCAAUUUCUUUUUACCAACGCAGUAUUCUGCAAUUUAACAUAAGAUUGUUCUGACUUGUUCAAAUGGAAUUGUGUCUUUUCUGAAAUAAUAAAAAUG